AUGCAGAGUUAUGAUGGAGUGAAAACUCACUUGAGAUGUGAUGGUAUUCUUCAAGGUUACACUAAGUGGGUUUGCCAUCGAGAGGAUUACAGUGAACCAUCAUUUGCAUUUGCUCAUGUAUCAGAUAACAGUGGCAAUCUAUCUAUUCCUGGCAUCCCAAGGAAUGUUGUUGGAGAAGGCAACCAUGGAAGGAUGGAUGACAUGCCAGGACUCUUAAGUGUUGUCUUUGCUAUGGCUAACAGUUGUGAAUCUUUAUCAAGAACAUCUGAUGGUGAAUUAGAUGGCGUUGAAUUUGAGAAUAUGGUACCUAAUUCAGUUGAGGAUGAGAAUGCAGAUACUCAAACAAGGAAGAAACCUAAUACAUAUGCAAGCUUCUCAGAGGAUGCAAACACGGAGUUAUACCCUGGAUGUAAAUUAUUUUCUAAGUUGUCAUUUCUCAUCACCUUGUAUCACAUGAAAUGCUUACAUGGAUGGUCACAAGAAUCAUUUGCAACGCUACUUGGUGUUUUGUCUGAUGCACUUCCACAGGCACAACUACCAAAGAAGUACUAUGAGGUACAAAAAAUCAUCCGUGGCUUAGGCCUUGACUACGAGAAAAUUCAUGAAUGCCCCAAUGAUUGCAUGCUUUUUCGAGGUGAACGAGCUGAUCAAGAGUCUUGCCAUGUGUGUCUAAGCAUAAGAAGAAACCAGCCAAGGUGUUGCGUUACUUUCCUUUGA
This 717-nucleotide ribosomal RNA is filed under the name Triticum aestivum (bread wheat). Its description in RNAcentral is "partial small subunit ribosomal RNA". Lineage: Eukaryota; Viridiplantae; Streptophyta; Magnoliopsida; Poales; Poaceae. The record is from RNAcentral.